AGAGUUUGAUCAUGGCUCAGGAUAAACGCUGGCGGCGCACAUAAGACAUGCAAGUCGAACGGACUUAACCAUUAGUUUACUAUUGGAGCGGUUAGUGGCGGACUGGUGAGUAACACGUAAGCAACCUGCCUGUUAGAGGGGAACAACAGUUAGAAAUGACUGCUAAUACCGCAUAUGCCUUGAGUAUCGCAUGGUACAAGAGGGAAAGGAGCAAUCCGCUAACAGAUGGGCUUGCGUCUGAUUAGAUAGUUGGUGGGGUAACGGCCUACCAAGUCGACGAUCAGUAGCCGG
Molecule: ribosomal RNA, 291 nt
Filed under: uncultured bacterium
Lineage: Bacteria
Description: partial 16S ribosomal RNA
Rfam family: Bacterial small subunit ribosomal RNA
Source: RNAcentral